Non-coding RNA from Gossypium hirsutum (cotton), 145 nucleotides. The record is from Rfam. NCBI's taxonomy places the organism in Eukaryota, Viridiplantae, Streptophyta, Magnoliopsida, Malvales, Malvaceae.
UGUUAAAAAUUCCAUCCAUUUGUACUGUUAAAAACAGGCACAACUAACAAAAUAAUCAGACAGUGAUAGGUGACAUGCCACGUAUACCUCAUGUUGAUAUACAAAGACCAGUUUUUAACAGCAAAACUGAACGACAUUUUUAACA